ACUAUAUCUAAAUAAUAAAUUUGCCUUAAUUACAACUUUGACUGAUAAAUUUUAUGUGUUUGGGCCGGGGUGGUCUGGGGGCAUGCUUUUCCAGGAACAUUUUGCCUUUCCGAAGCCUCAGGAAGAGCAUUUUCUGUGUUUUGAGAGGAAUUUUUACCAAAGUUGUGAACUUCUUCAAUUUAAUGGCCCCACACGAGGAACACCUCAGUAGGUAUGCGUAGGACUAGGAUACUACCAGAGCCCAUGUCCCACACAAAGACAUAUCAGACAUGGAGCUGGGAAUUAAAGACACUAACAAAUUACUGCUGUAUAUGGCGUAAUUUCUUCAAAUUCUUUCGGUUACAAUUUAUUAGCUUUCAUAAAUAAUAUAUCUGUGUUUAUGUACAGAAGUUUUUACUCCACUGACAAUCACUUCUAAAAAUGAAUUUACUGUAUAUCUGUAAAUGAAAUAAAGAAAGUUGUAUGAUUGUUAUUGUCAGGUGGUGCUAAUCAUGUUUCAUUACAGCUGAGAGCUGUGUUGGAAACGAAGCAACUCAAACCUGAUCGAGUCGAAUUCGAAGGUUCACUGUGACUAUACAGGGUGUAUCAAAAUAAACGCAAUUCAUCUUUUGUGCUUAAUAACUUUCGAAAUACUAUUUCUAGUUAAACGCUUUUAGGCUUACUUCAAAGCCUGUUCUUUUCUCUUUCAAACAAACUAUUAUCCUUGUCUCCAAUGCUAGUAAUAAUUGCACAGGAAAAGAUUUAGUAAAACCUAUCAUUUUUAGUUGCUGUUUAAUUAUGCAAGUUUACUAUGUUAUUGUUUAGUCGAUUUAAAUGUUAGAAUUUUCUUCUUUAAACUUUAAUGUUGUCGUCACUACAUCUGGA
Non-coding RNA from Paramuricea clavata, 864 nucleotides. The record is from the annotation of a GenBank genome assembly. NCBI's taxonomy places the organism in Eukaryota, Metazoa, Cnidaria, Anthozoa, Malacalcyonacea, Plexauridae.